UGUGCUUUUUGUGUUUAUAGGGAUGCUUCCUUUGGAAAUUGCACUUACAAUCUCACCAUCCUCGACUGUUUGCAAGGAAUCAGAAAGGGAUUACAACAUGGAUUUUUUGACUUUGAGACAUUUGAUGUGGAUGAAUAUGAACAUUAUGAGCGAGUUGAAAAUGGUGACUUCAACUGGAUUGUUCCAGGAAAAUUUUUAGCAUUUAGUGGACCACAUCCAAAAAGCAAAGUUGAAAAUGGUAGGUUUUUC
RNAcentral lists this long non-coding RNA (249 nucleotides) under Ursus americanus (American black bear). RNAcentral's name for it is "lncRNA (ENSUAMG00000002885.1)". Lineage: Eukaryota; Metazoa; Chordata; Mammalia; Carnivora; Ursidae. The record is from RNAcentral.